Molecule: ribosomal RNA, 873 nt
Filed under: bacterium 0%73DO
Lineage: Bacteria
Description: bacterial SSU rRNA
Rfam family: Bacterial small subunit ribosomal RNA
Source: RNAcentral
AAAGCUUGCUUUUGUAAGUYAGCGGCGGACGGGUGAGUAACACGUGGGCAACCUGCCCUUGAGACUGGGAUAACUUCGGGAAACCGGAGCUAAUACCGGAUAAUAUAAGGAACCUCCUGGUUCCUUAUUGAAAGAUGGUUUCGGCUAUCACUUAAGGAUGGGCCCGCGGCGCAUUAGCUAGUUGGUGAGGUAACGGCUCACCAAGGCGACGAUGCGUAGCCGACCUGAGAGGGUGAUCGGCCACACUGGGACUGAGACACGGCCCAGACUCCUACGGGAGGCAGCAGUAGGGAAUCUUCCACAAUGGACGAAAGUCUGAUGGAGCAACGCCGCGUGAGUGAUGAAGGCCUUCGGGUCGUAAAGCUCUGUUGUUAGGGAAGAACAAGUGCGAGAGUAACUGCUCGCACCUUGACGGUACCUAACCAGAAAGCCACGGCUAACUACGUGCCAGCAGCCGCGGUAAUACGUAGGUGGCAAGCGUUAUCCGGAAUUAUUGGGCGUAAAGCGCGCGCAGGUGGUUUCUUAAGUCUGAUGUGAAAGCCCACGGCUCAACCGUGGAGGGUCAUUGGAAACUGGGGAACUUGAGUGCAGAAGAGGAAAGUGGAAUUCCAAGUGUAGCGGUGAAAUGCGUAGAGAUUUGGAGGAACACCAGUGGCGAAGGCGACUUUCUGGUCUGUAACUGACACUGAGGCGCGAAAGCGUGGGGAGCAAACAGGAUUAGAUACCCUGGUAGUCCACGCCGUAAACGAUGAGUGCUAAGUGUUAGAGGGUUUCCGCCCUUUAGUGCUGCAGCUAACGCAUUAAGCACUCCGCCUGGGGAGUACGGUCGCAAGACUGAAACUCAAAGGAAUUGACGGGGGCCCSCMCAAGCGG